This 436-nucleotide ribosomal RNA is filed under the name uncultured bacterium. RNAcentral describes it as "bacterial SSU rRNA". It matches the Rfam family "Bacterial small subunit ribosomal RNA", at positions 355 to 796 of the family's 1533-position model. The record is from RNAcentral.
UCGAGAAUCUUCGGCAAUGGGCGCAAGCCUGACCGAGCGACGCCGCGUGGAGGACGAAGGCCCUCGGGUUGUAAACUCCUGUCGAGGGGGAGGAAGGGCCGAAAGGCCUUGACCGAUCCCUGGAGGAAGCACGGGCUAAGUUCGUGCCAGCAGCCGCGGUAAGACGAACCGUGCGAACGUUAUUCGGAAUCACUGGGCUUAAAGCGCGUGUAGGCGGGGUGGCACGUCCGGCGCUGAAAUCCCCCGGCUCAACCGGGGAACGGGCGCGGAUACGACCGCCCUCGAGGGACGUAGGGGGACCUGGAACUUCCGGUGGAGCGGUGAAAUGCGUUGAGAUCGGAAGGAACGCCCGUGGCGAAAGCGAGGUCCUGGACGUCAGCUGACGCUGAGACGCGAAAGCCAGGGGAGCGAACGGGAUUAGAUACCCCUGUAGUCC